This is a non-coding RNA of Phodopus roborovskii (desert hamster), 72 nucleotides long. The record is from the annotation of a RefSeq genome assembly. NCBI's taxonomy places the organism in Eukaryota, Metazoa, Chordata, Mammalia, Rodentia, Cricetidae.
CACAGUGUAGCUUAAACCCAAUAAAGCAUCUGGUCUACACCCAGAAGACUCCACACCCAAUGGACGCUAUGA